This is a long non-coding RNA of Lutra lutra (Eurasian river otter), 692 nucleotides long. RefSeq lists it as uncharacterized. The transcript has 3 exons. Lineage: Eukaryota; Metazoa; Chordata; Mammalia; Carnivora; Mustelidae. The record is from RefSeq and is a predicted model, not a curated record.
UGGGCUGUGCCUCAGCCACAGCUUCCAUAGAACUUCUUCUACUGCCUUGUCUAGGUUCCAUUACUCACUGCUUGCUCAGCCCUUCUGAGCCUGCAGGUUGCCAAGUGUCGACUGAAAUUUUUCCCUAAGGCUAUAGACCAUUUUCAAAGGCAAGAUCUUCUUCUGGAUCUUCUUGUUCCCAUUCCCUUCUUAUUACAGUAGCUUUCCCCGUCUUGCUUCAGGAUCCAGUUUUGUUUUCCUGUACUUUAUGGAAAAGGCAGUGAGAACUUUGGGAAUGAUUUUCCAACCUCCUUGGAAAACGCUGGACCACCAAUAAACUGUGAUUCUGAGCCAUCAUUUCUGGAUAGUGCAAAACUGCUUUCAUUAAAAUGAGCUUUGGAGUAACUUGCUAGCCUUUUUAAAUUGAGGUUGAAAUACCUAAAUUAUAAAAGUCAGUGAUGUGAUUUAGAAUUUUGGAGAUGUUUUAUCUUGAGGAACAAUGAAGUAGCUGGUAGGAAAUAUAUACUGCAUUAUCAGAGGAAGGGACACUUCCAAGAUGUGCUUUGGUGGAACACAUCUCUAGAGAGUCUGAAGCCAAGCUUCAAGCCUACCUGAGCUGUCUCCUUCUGUUUAAUACUGCUCAAAUGAGCCCCGCACUUCCCAGCAUAAAUUAUAAAGGCAAAGAUUAUACUUACUUUGGAAAUGCUUGAAGA